ACCUGAUGAUGUGGGCAUUUAUGGAGCAGGUCCCUAAAUUGCUCCCAGGUCUCAAAGAAAAGUUCCCCAUCCAUAUGUGAAAAGCUCGUGAUGGCUCUCUGAAGCU
Small nucleolar RNA from Malania oleifera, 106 nucleotides. NCBI's taxonomy places the organism in Eukaryota, Viridiplantae, Streptophyta, Magnoliopsida, Santalales, Ximeniaceae. The record is from RefSeq and is a predicted model, not a curated record.